This is an RNA transcript of Mercenaria mercenaria, 3451 nucleotides long. It is a transcript of the gene named zinc finger protein 578-like, with no coding region annotated. The record is from RefSeq and is a predicted model, not a curated record. NCBI's taxonomy places the organism in Eukaryota, Metazoa, Mollusca, Bivalvia, Venerida, Veneridae. The transcript is spliced from 6 exons.
AUUUCAUGGACCACCGUUCAAGCGCCUAAUUAUACAGAAUAAAACAACGAACCUAAAUUUUGAUUAAAUUUUAUAAUGUUGCAUGAUUUCAUUACCUCUGUAAACAGCCUGAGCUUGUAAAAUUAAAUUUGGUAUUUGGGUGUUUAGAUGUGGACUGGAGAAUGGAACACUAUAUGUUGAUACUUUAUGUCACUUUAAACCAAGAAGAAGCAAUCAGGCGACUGUUCUAUAAACAAGGAUGGAAAUAUAUCAAAGAAGACAGUUACAUAUCUGUUGUACCAGAUAAUGGACUCAUAAAUACUGAUUCACCACAGGUUAAUAAUGUCAUUGGCAAUGCAGAAGAGACUUCCUUCCACUUCGAUGUUUUAUGCUUGGAAGGAGAUAGAAAUAAACUUUUUAGUACAGACAUUACGUCAAGUAGUACCGAAGAUGAGAAAUUUGGUAAUGGUAGUACUGCGAACAGUUUUGUAAAUGUGAUUGUUAAAACUGACAACCCAGAAAAUGGUAACAAAAGAAACAAGAGUGUUAAUGGUACCCAAAAUAUUGAAUAUGUAAAUGGAAUCGAAAGCAACAAGAGUGUAAAUGGUACCCAAAAUGAUGAAUAUGUAAAUGUCCAGUGCAGUAAUGUUGUAAAUGGCAUCCAAGGCAGUUGUAUUGUAGAAGGUGUCCCAGACAAUAGUGUUGUAAUUGUUAACCAUGGCAUCAGUACCCAAAAUGAUAUCCAAGACAGAAGCAUUUUAAAUUGUGUCCCAGUUAUCAGCUCUGCUUAUGAGGAGCAAGUUAACCAUGUUACUGAUAAUGCUCAGGUAAACGAAAAUCAACAGUCUAGUAAUGCUUGUAGCAAAUUUGAACAUAAAGAAGAAAGUUCUGAUAAAACUGAUAACGAGCAGACCUCAAAAGAACAGUUAAGACAUUUGAUAUCAAGAGGAAAAUUAUUAUCCAUAAAGAACAAGAGAAUACUGAACAAAGAGAGAAAGGUGUUACAUCAGAAAAAAAAUCUUAAACAAUCAGGGAAAUGUAACUCUUCAAUCUCAGCAAAAAAGAAGCCAGUAUUUUGUUCUGAUUGUAAAGUUACCUUUACUUCACAGAAAAGAUAUGACACUCAUAAGGCACGUAAUAAUGGACAAUGUGUUUUUCCGUGCGGAUUUUGUGACAAGGUGUUUUUGUACAGGAAAUCACGUCACGAUCUGCACGUGCGUUCUGCUCAUUCCAAAGAGCGUCCCUUCAAGUGUGAUGUUUGCCAGAAAGGAUAUGUUACUUCCGAUAAGCUCAAGAUCCACAAACGUGUGCAUACUGGUGAAAGACCUUGUGUCUGUGAAGAGUGUGGGAAAGCCUUCUACAGCCGGGGUGAUCUCUCAACUCACCGGGAAUACCACCAUAUCUCCAAGGAGAGACAGGACAAUGUAACUUGUGAUCUGUGUAAUUUAACAUUCUGUAACCAGCGUUACCUCGCAUACCACAAAAAUGUUACUCAUAGUACAAGACGGGAUUUCCAUUGUCAGGCUUGCUCGAAAAGUUUCAAAAGUAACUCGUCAUUAAAACGCCAUUUGAAAUAUAUACAUUCGGAAUCUAAAAAUUUCAAGUGUGAUGCCUGUGAUAAAUCUUUCAAAACGGCAGGAUCAUUGAAAAAGCAUAAAGUACGGCAUGUCGGUGAAAGAUCUUUCUUCUGCAGUGAAUGUAAUAAAGGUUUCUACGAAAAAGCCAAACUUCACCAACAUUUUCGCACUCAUACUGGUGAAAAACCUUAUAGGUGUCACCUGUGCGAAUACAAAUGUGCGCUUUCAGGUAAUCUUAGUAAACACAUGAAAACACAUUAUCGAGAAUUGACAAAUGCUGUGUCAUAGUAAAGCUGCUGUUUUUAUCUUAAAGGGACUCAUUACCAAAUAGGGCAUUUUAUAGGAUAUGUUUGAAGCCCUUGGGCUUACUGUAUAUUUACAUUGUAUCAGCAGUAUCUGUCAAGAUUUUAUGGUAAUAUCUUGUAUACCAUCAAAGAUAUUUACUUCAAACUUGGAACACUUGUUUAUUAUAACAGUCUCUACCUGUAGGCAAGAGUACAUAACUCUGUCAAAUAUUUUGGCUGAAUAAUGGCCCUUUUUACCUCGACUAUUCAAAGAAUAUGGAGAGCUAUACUACUCACCCCGGCGUCGGUGUUGGUUAAAGAUUUUAUGAAAUGGUAAUAUUUUGUAUACCAUCAAGGAUAUUUACUUCAAACUUGGAACACUUGUUUAUUAUAACAGUCUCUACCUGUAGGCAAUAGUACAUAACUCUGUCAUGUAUUUUGGCUGAAUUAUGGCCCUUUUAGGACUUGGAAAUUGGUUCAGUUUUAGUACAAGUACAUAUUUUGUCAAAACUAUUUGAAAUGUGGCUUUGAAACAUUGAAAACUUGUUUAAUAUAUUAGUAUCUAUCUAUAGGCAAGAGUACAUAACUUUGUCAUGUAUUUUGGCUGAAUGAUGAUCCUUUUUGGACUUGGAAAUCAGUUAAAUUUUUCAUACCAGUCCAUAUUUCGCUUAACCUAUUUAUCAUAUGGCUUUGAAACUUUGGUCACUUGUUUACCAGCAUAGUCUACAUUAUUAUGUAGGCAAGACUACAUAACUAGGGCAAUGACUUUAGCUCAGUAAUGGCCCUUUUUAGCUCGACUAUUCAGAGAAUAGUAGAGCUAUUGGACUCGCCUGUGCGUCGGUGUCUGUGUCCACGUCUGCAUCGGCGUCCCGAUUUAAGGUUUUGUAUGUAAGCUAGUAUCUCACAGGUUCCAUAACUCUAUUUUGCUUUUUUUACAAAAUUAUGCCCCUUUUUCGACUUAGAAAUUUUUGGUUAAGGUUUUGUAUGUAAGCUGGUAUCUCAGUAACCACUUGUGGGAAUGGAUUGAAACUUCACACACUUAUUCACUGUGAUAAACUGACCUACAUUGCACAGGUUCCAUAACUCUAUUUUGCUUUUUUACAAAAUUAUGCCCCUUUUUUGACUUAGAAAUUUUUGGUUAAGGUUUUGUAUGGAAGUUGGUAUCUCAGUACUUACUAAUGGGAAUGGUUUGAAACUUCACAUACUUGUUCACUGUCAUGAUCUGACAUGCACUAAGCAAGUCCCAUAACUCUACUUUUUUUUUUCAAAAUUAUGCCCUUUUUUCGACUUAGCAGUUUUUAGUUAAAUUUUUGUAUGUAAUCUGAUAUCUCAGUAUCCACUAAUUGGAAUGGAUUGAAACUUCACACACUUGUUCACUGUCAUGAUCUAACAUGCACUGUGAAGGUCCCAUAACUCUACUUUGCAUUUUUACAAAAUUAUGCCCAUUUUUCGACUUAGCAGUUUUUGGAUAAGUUUUUGUAUGUAAGCUGGUAUCCCAGUAUCCACAAAUUGGAAAGGAUUGACACUUCACACACUUGUUCACUGUCAUGAUAUGACAUGCAGUACAGAGGUUCAAUACCUCUACUUUGCAUUUUACAAAAUUAUGCCCCU